RNAcentral lists this ribosomal RNA (775 nucleotides) under uncultured Neocallimastigales. Its description in RNAcentral is "partial large subunit ribosomal RNA". It matches the Rfam family "Eukaryotic large subunit ribosomal RNA", at positions 22 to 643 of the family's 3401-position model. Lineage: Eukaryota; Fungi; Neocallimastigomycota; Neocallimastigomycetes; Neocallimastigales. The record is from RNAcentral.
CAUAGCGACUAUCGUGGCAUAUCAAUAAGCGGAGGAAAAGAAACUAACAAGGAUUCCCUUAGUAACGGCGAGUGAAGCGGGAAGGGCUCAAAUUUGAAAUCUUCAAGGUUCUACCUUGACGAAUUGUAGUUUAUAGAAGUGUUUUCUGUUAGUAGAGUGGCAAAAGUUCUUUGGAAUAGGACAUCAUAGAGGGUGAGAAUCCCGUAUUUGACUAUUCUUUCUAGCUUUGUGAUACACUUUCAAAGAGUCGGAUUGUUUGGGAAUGCAGUCCAAAAUGGGUGGUAAAUUUCAUCUAAAGCUAAAUAUUGGCGAGAGACCGAUAGCGAACAAGUACCGUGAGGGAAAGAUGAAAAGAACUUUGAAAAGAGAGUUAAACAGUACGUGAAAUUGUCAAAAGGGAAGCGUUUGACACCAGUGUUGUUUUUCCGAAAAUCAAUUACGAAUGUUUUGUUUUUGAGAAGUUAUGACUUCAUCGGCUUGCUUCUUUCUUUACGAAACUUUCUUAAUGCACUUUUCGGUUAACAAGUCAACAUCAAUUUCUUUUGUUGUAAAAGGGUAUGAGGAAGGUGGCUUUCUUUUCGGAGAAAGUGUUUAUAGCCUUGUAGCCUCUGCAAUCGGAGAGAUUGAGGUCUGCAGCAUAGAUCCUUCGGGGUUAGAUACAGUUUGUGCUAAGUUAUAGCUUUUCAUAGACAACUUGUUGACUAUGUUAGUCUUGUAGCUUACUCGCUGAUGCUAUUUUACCUACGCUUAGGAUGUUGAUAUGCAUGACUGAUAU